RNAcentral lists this transfer RNA (72 nucleotides) under Chitinispirillales bacterium. Its description in RNAcentral is "tRNA-Glu". It matches the Rfam family "tRNA". From Rfam's summary of the family: Transfer RNA (tRNA) molecules are approximately 80 nucleotides in length. Their secondary structure includes four short double-helical elements and three loops (D, anti-codon, and T loops). The record is from RNAcentral. Lineage: Bacteria; Pseudomonadati; Fibrobacterota; Chitinispirillia; Chitinispirillales.
GCUCCCUUCGUCUAGUGGUUAGGACACAAGGUUUUCAUCCUUGCAACAGGGGUUCGAUUCCCCUAGGGAGUG